RNAcentral lists this transfer RNA (64 nucleotides) under Lopaphus sphalerus. Its description in RNAcentral is "tRNA-Cys". Lineage: Eukaryota; Metazoa; Arthropoda; Insecta; Phasmatodea; Lonchodidae. The record is from RNAcentral.
AGUUUUAUAUUCAAUAAUGAUUUUGAAUUGCAAAUUUGAAGGUGUAAUGAUAUUACUAAGGCUU